This 253-nucleotide ribosomal RNA is filed under the name uncultured bacterium. RNAcentral's name for it is "partial 16S ribosomal RNA". It matches the Rfam family "Bacterial small subunit ribosomal RNA", at positions 524 to 776 of the family's 1533-position model. The record is from RNAcentral.
AACGUAGGGGACAAGCGUUAUCCGGAUUUACUGGGCGUAAAGCGCCCGUAGGCGGCUUUUUAAGUUGGACGUGAAAGCUCCCGGCUUAACUGGGAGAGGCCGUUCAAAACUGAGAGGCUAGAGUGAGGCAGAGGAGCGCGGAAUUCCCGGUGUAGUGGUGGAAUGCGUAGAUAUCGGGAGGAACACCAGUGGCGAAAGCGGCGCUCUGGGCCUAAACUGACGCUGAGGGGCGAAAGCGUGGGGAGCGAACAGG